CCUCUGGUAGCUCAGUUGGUAGAGAGGUGGACUGUAGAUCCAUAGGUCGCUGGUUCAAAUCCGGCCCAGAGGA
This 73-nucleotide transfer RNA is filed under the name Schistocerca gregaria. RNAcentral's name for it is "transfer RNA tyrosine (anticodon GUA)". It matches the Rfam family "tRNA". From Rfam's summary of the family: Transfer RNA (tRNA) molecules are approximately 80 nucleotides in length. Their secondary structure includes four short double-helical elements and three loops (D, anti-codon, and T loops). Further hydrogen bonds mediate the characteristic L-shaped molecular structure. tRNAs have two regions of fundamental functional importance: the anti-codon, which is responsible for specific mRNA codon recognition, and the 3' end, to which the tRNAs corresponding amino acid is attached (by aminoacyl-tRNA synthetases). tRNAs cope with the degeneracy of the genetic code in two manners: having more than one tRNA (with a specific anti-codon) for a particular amino acid; and 'wobble' base-pairing, i.e. permitting non-standard base-pairing at the 3rd anti-codon position. Lineage: Eukaryota; Metazoa; Arthropoda; Insecta; Orthoptera; Acrididae. The record is from RNAcentral. RNAcentral also lists the same sequence under 1 other name.